AGUGAACGCUGGCGGUAGGCCUAACACAUGCAAGUCGAACGGCAGCACAGUAAGAGCUUGCUCUUACGGGUGGCGAGUGGCGGACGGGUGAGGAAUACAUCGGAAUCUACUUUUUCGUGGGGGAUAACGUAGGGAAACUUACGCUAAUACCGCAUACGACCUACGGGUGAAAGCAGGGGAUCUUCGGACCUUGCGCGAUUGAAUGAGCCGAUGUCGGAUUAGCUAGUUGGCGGGGUAAAGGCCCACCAAGGCGACGAUCCGUAGCUGGUCUGAGAGGAUGACCAGCCAAAGUGGAAUUGCGGAACGGUCCAAACUCCACGGGAGGCAGCAGUGGGGAAUAUUGGACAAUGGGCGCAAGCCUGAUCCAGCCAUACCGCGUGGGUGAAGAAGGCCUUCGGGUUGUAAAGCCCUUUUGUUGGGAAAGAAAAGCAGCAGGUUAAUACCCCGCUGUUCUGACGGUACCCAAAGAAUAAGCACCGGCUAACUUCGUG
Molecule: ribosomal RNA, 491 nt
Filed under: uncultured bacterium
Lineage: Bacteria
Description: partial 16S ribosomal RNA
Rfam family: Bacterial small subunit ribosomal RNA
Source: RNAcentral